GCCGGGAUGGCGGAAUCGGUAGACGCAGCGGAUUCAAAAUCCGCCGCCGAAAGGCGUAAGGGUUCGAGUCCCUUUCCCGGCACCA
RNAcentral lists this transfer RNA (85 nucleotides) under Azospira restricta. Its description in RNAcentral is "tRNA-Leu". It matches the Rfam family "tRNA". Rfam says of the family: Transfer RNA (tRNA) molecules are approximately 80 nucleotides in length. Their secondary structure includes four short double-helical elements and three loops (D, anti-codon, and T loops). Further hydrogen bonds mediate the characteristic L-shaped molecular structure. tRNAs have two regions of fundamental functional importance: the anti-codon, which is responsible for specific mRNA codon recognition, and the 3' end, to which the tRNAs corresponding amino acid is attached (by aminoacyl-tRNA synthetases). tRNAs cope with the degeneracy of the genetic code in two manners: having more than one tRNA (with a specific anti-codon) for a particular amino acid; and 'wobble' base-pairing, i.e. permitting non-standard base-pairing at the 3rd anti-codon position. RNAcentral also lists the same sequence under 1 other name. The record is from RNAcentral. Lineage: Bacteria; Pseudomonadati; Pseudomonadota; Betaproteobacteria; Rhodocyclales; Rhodocyclaceae.